Molecule: ribosomal RNA, 467 nt
Filed under: Arcofacies sp. nov. XHH-2010
Lineage: Eukaryota; Metazoa; Arthropoda; Insecta; Hemiptera; Delphacidae
Description: partial 16S ribosomal RNA
Source: RNAcentral
UUUAAAUGGCUGCAGUAAUUUAACUGUACAAAGGUAGCAUAAUAAUUAGUCUUUUAAUUGAGGUCUGGUAUGAACGGUUUAACAAAGUAAAAUCUUUAUUGUUUUAAUAAAAUUGAAUUUAAUUUUUUAGUUAAAAAGCUAAAAUUUUUAAGUGGGACGAUAAGACCCUAUAGAUCUUUAAUUUUUAUUUAUAAAAUUAAUUUGGUAAAUUUAAAAACUUUAUAAAAUGAAAAUUUUCGUUGGGGUGACGUUAAAAAUUUUAGAACUUUUAAUUAUUUUUACAUAGAUUUAUGGUUAAAUGAUCUUAAAUUUUAGAUUAUAAAAUUAAGAUACCUUAGGGAUAACAGCGUAAUAAAUUUGGAUAGUACAUAUUGAUAAUAUUUGUUUACGACCUCGAUGUUGAAUUAAUUUAAAAUUUUGAAGUAGAAAUCAAAAAUUUAGGUCUGUUCGACCUUUAAAAAUUUACA